This 914-nucleotide ribosomal RNA is filed under the name uncultured marine archaeon. Its description in RNAcentral is "bacterial SSU rRNA". It matches the Rfam family "Archaeal small subunit ribosomal RNA", at positions 1 to 922 of the family's 1478-position model. The record is from RNAcentral.
UUCCGGUUGAUCCCGCCGGACCUGACUGCUAUCGGAUUGAUACUAAGCCAUGCGAGUCUUUGCAGUAAUGCAAGGCAUACGGCUCAGUAACACGUAGUCAACUUACCCUAUGGACGAGGAUAAUCUCGGGAAACUGAGCAUAAUACUCGAUAGAUCAUAAUGCCUGGAAUGGUUUAUGGUUAAAAUGAUUCGUCGCCAUAGGAUGGGACUGCGGCCUAUCAGCUUGUUGGUGAGGUAAUGGCCCACCAAGGCGAUUACAGGUACGGGCUCUGAGAGGAGAAGCCCGGAGAUGGGUACUGAGACAAGGACCCAGGCCCUAUGGGGCGCAGCAGGCGAGAAAACUUUGCAAUGUGCGAAAGCACGACAAGGUUAAUCCGAGUGAUUUCUGCUAAAGGAAUCUUUUGCCAGUUCUAAAAAUACUAGUGAAUAAGGGGUGGGCAAGUUCUGGUGUCAGCCGCCGCGGUAAAACCAGCACCUCAAGUGGUCAGGAGGAUUAUUGGGCCUAAAGCAUCCGUAGCCUGCUCUGUAAGUUUUCGGUUAAAUCUAUAUGCUCAACGUAUAGGCCGCCGAAAAUACUGCAGUGCUAGGAAGUGGGAGAGGUAGACGGUACUUGGUAGGAAGGGGUAAAAUCCUUUGAUCUAUCGAUGACCACCUGUGGCGAAGGCGGUCUACCAGAACACGUUCGACGGUGAGGGAUGAAAGCUGGGGGAGCAAACCGGAUUAGAUACCCGGGUAGUCCCAGCUGUAAACGAUGUAGACUCGAUGAUGCAUUGGCAUCUAGCCAGUGCAGUGUCGCAGGGAAGCCGUUAAGUCUGCCGCCUGGGAAGUACGUACGCAAGUAUGAAACUUAAAGGAAUUGGCGGGGGAGCACCACAAGGGGUGAAGCCUGCGGUUCAAUUGGAGUCAACGCCGGG